Pristis pectinata (smalltooth sawfish) is the source of this 1220-nucleotide long non-coding RNA. RefSeq lists it as uncharacterized. The record is from RefSeq and is a predicted model, not a curated record. The transcript has 2 exons. NCBI's taxonomy places the organism in Eukaryota, Metazoa, Chordata, Chondrichthyes, Rhinopristiformes, Pristidae.
UGGAGUAGCAGAAGACACCAGUAACAAAGGCAGUACUAAACACAUUGUCUUUAACAUUGGCCCCUUAAAUUAUUUCUGAAAGUGGCUCAGUUUACACUGCACUUACAACUACAAAACAUGGAUAAGAAAGCCUGGAUUAGAGUUUUAGGAUGUGGAAGUUUGCGGACGUUGCCUAGAUUAGAGAAUAUUAGCUACAAGGAGAGUUGGAUAAACUUGGAUUGUUUCCUCUGGAGCAGAUGCCAAAGGGAGAUCUGACAGAGGUUUAUAAAACUAUGAGGGGCAUAGAAAGGGUAGAUAGUGUCUUUCUCCCAGGGUGGAAAUGUCAAAUACUAGAGGACGUGGCUUUAAACUGAGAGUGGGGUAAGUUUAAAGUGUGGGGAAGCUUUUGUUUUACAUAUAGAGUGUUAGGUGCCUGGAAUGUGCUGCUAGGGGUGAUGGUCGAAGCAGACACAAUAGUGGUGUUUAAGAGGCAGGGAAUGGAGGGAUACAGAUCAUGUGCCAGUAGAUUGGUUUAGUUUAAUUUGGCAUUGUGGUCAGCAGAGACAGUGUGAGCUGAAGGGCCUGUUCCUGCGCUGUUCUGUGUCCAUCACCAGCAUUACAUUAUUUAUUGACAUAGCCAGGCAGAGAGAGGUGGCCUUAUAUACCUGCAAGAGGUCAGUUCCUUUCAUAAGACUGUAAGAAGUUGCAAAAUGCAUUUUUAAAACAUUGGACAAUUUGGAGCUACAGUCAGCAAAUGAUUUGGCAUGGAUUGCACGCAGCAGAUGGGCAACCAACCUUUCCCUCCAGCUCAGCAGAAGCAGGAGCAGCAGCAGACUCCUGGGAAGGAGCCGACAGAGCACUGGAAACUUUAGAAGGCUGCAGCAUGGAAGGAAAAACUGCAAGGUCCAGCUAGGUUUGUGCAGUGAUUCAGAAGGAUAUUAUUCCAAUUGUUCAACUUCAUAUCACUACUGCACUGCUGGAAGAUGCUGAUCUGAGAUUUAUUUGGGUUUGUUCUUCCAAAAAAAAAAAUUCACAACUCACUGCUGAAUGACAGCUGCCAAACCAUCACUGGCUACUUUAGGGCAAGAAACAUCAACAGGUUGUUCACCUUGCCUAGAAUAGCAACAUCAGGAAUCUUGAGUGCUGUGGCCAAGCAAGAAGAAAGGAAGUGACAAACUAAAGAUGCCAGAUACCCUCUACGUGGUCACACUGCUGCGGAAAAAAUAAACUUCAUGACCUCA